Molecule: ribosomal RNA, 491 nt
Filed under: Campylobacter coli 76339
Lineage: Bacteria; Pseudomonadati; Campylobacterota; Epsilonproteobacteria; Campylobacterales; Campylobacteraceae
Description: SSU rRNA
Rfam family: Bacterial small subunit ribosomal RNA
Source: RNAcentral
UAUGGAGAGUUUGAUCCUGGCUCAGAGUGAACGCUGGCGGCGUGCCUAAUACAUGCAAGUCGAACGAUGAAGCUUCUAGCUUGCUAGAAGUGGAUUAGUGGCGCACGGGUGAGUAAGGUAUAGUUAAUCUGCCCUACACAAGAGGACAACAGUUGGAAACGACUGCUAAUACUCUAUACUCCUGCUUAACACAAGUUGAGUAGGGAAAGUUUUUCGGUGUAGGAUGAGACUAUAUAGUAUCAGCUAGUUGGUGAGGUAAUGGCUCACCAAGGCUAUGACGCUUAACUGGUCUGAGAGGAUGAUCAGUCACACUGGAACUGAGACACGGUCCAGACUCCUACGGGAGGCAGCAGUAGGGAAUAUUGCGCAAUGGGGGAAACCCUGACGCAGCAACGCCGCGUGGAGGAUGACACUUUUCGGAGCGUAAACUCCUUUUCUUAGGGAAGAAUUCUGACGGUACCUAAGGAAUAAGCACCGGCUAACUCCGUGCC